GGCUCACCAAGGCGACGAUCAGUAGCCGACCUGAGAGGGUGAUCGGCCACAUUGGAACUGAGACACGGUCCAAACUCCUACGGGAGGCAGCAGUGGGGAAUAUUGCACAAUAGGCGAAAGCCUGAUGCAGCAACGCCGCGUGAGCGAUGAAGGCCUUCGGGUCGUAAAGCUCUGUCCUCAAGGAAGAUAAAGACGGUACUGAGGAGAAGCCCC
RNAcentral lists this ribosomal RNA (213 nucleotides) under uncultured bacterium. RNAcentral describes it as "partial 16S ribosomal RNA". It matches the Rfam family "Bacterial small subunit ribosomal RNA", at positions 262 to 494 of the family's 1533-position model. The record is from RNAcentral.